GUUGGUGUGGUGUAGUGGUUAUCACGUUAAUCUUACACAUUGAAGGUCCCCAGAUCAAUCUUUAGCAUUAACA
Molecule: transfer RNA, 73 nt
Organism: Ipomoea nil (Japanese morning glory)
Lineage: Eukaryota; Viridiplantae; Streptophyta; Magnoliopsida; Solanales; Convolvulaceae
Rfam family: tRNA
About the family: Transfer RNA (tRNA) molecules are approximately 80 nucleotides in length. Their secondary structure includes four short double-helical elements and three loops (D, anti-codon, and T loops).
Source: Rfam